UAAACGGACCAUCGAGUAUCCAUUGGAGGGCAAGUCUGGUGCCAGCAGCUGCGGUAAUACCAGCUCCAAUAGCGUAUAUUAAAGUUGUUGCAGUUAAAAAGCUCGUAGUUGGACUUGUGUGCGCUGUCCGCGGGUGGCCUGCGCCCAAAAGGGCGUUUCGGUUCGGCCCCGGUGGCGCCUUGAAAUCUGCAGCUGGGGGGACGUUGGCCUUAACUGGUCGGCGACCGCACGCCGGCUGCUCGGUUACUGUGAGAAAAUUAGAGUGUUCAAGGCAGGCAUUGGGUGCAAUUGAAUACAUUAGCAUGGAAUAAUAAAAUAUGGCUCCUGCCGUAUUUUGUUGGUUUUGACUGGUGGGAGUAAUGAUUGAUAGGGACGGUUGGGGGUGCUAGUAUUGAGCGGCCAGAGGUGAAAUUCAUGGAUUCGCUCAAGACUAACUUAUGCGAAAGCAUUCACCAAGGACGUCCUCUUUAAUCAAGAACGAAAGUUGGGGGAUCGAAGACGAUCAGAUACCGUCGUAGUCUCAACCAUAAACUAUGUCGACUUGGGAUCGGCGGUAGUUUUUUCAUUAAGACACUGUCGGGACCACGGGAGAAAUCAAAGUGUCUGGACUCUGGGGGAAGUAUGGUCGCAAGGCUGAAACUUGAAGGAAUUGACGGAAGGGCACCACCAGGAGUGGAGCCUGCGGCUUAAUUUGACACAACACGGGGAAACUUACCAGGUCCAGAGAUGUAGAGGAUUGACAGAUUGAAGCUCUUUCUUGAUCACUUCGGUGGUGGUGCAUGGCCGUUCUUAGUUGGUGGAGUGAUUUGUCUGGUUAAUUCCGUUAACGAACGAGACCUCAGCCUGCUAGUGUAGUCGGCUGGAUUGCCUUUGGCGAUCCGUGAUUUCGACUUCUUAGAGGGACAAUCGACGCGCAGUCGAUGGAAGUUUGAGGCAAUAACAGGUCUGUGAUGCCCUUAGAUGUUCUGGGCCGCACGCGCGCUACACUGCUGGGCUCAGCGAGUUUUACUUGGCCGAGAGGCCCGGUUAAUCUUGUGAAAUCCCAGCGUGCUUGGGCUCGCCUCCUGCAACUGGAGGCGCCAACGAGGAAUUCCUAGUAGACGCAGGUCAUCAACCUGCAUCGAUUACGUCCCUGCCCUUUGUACACACCGCCCGUCGUUCCAUAAGAGUGAGGCAUCCGGUGAAUUCUCGGGAGAGCCUGGGCGUGGCCAGCAAUGGUCUGCUCGGGUUUGAACUUGCAUAAACUUGGUGCCUAUGAUUAGGGAAAAGUCGUAACAAGGUUUCCGUAGGAACCUGCGGAAG
Molecule: ribosomal RNA, 1302 nt
Filed under: metagenome
Description: SSU rRNA
Rfam family: Eukaryotic small subunit ribosomal RNA
Source: RNAcentral